GGCUGUCGACGAGCGGGAAUGCUAAUGCGCGCGGACUGAAAAUCCGCGUGUCCGUGGUUCGAUUCCGCGCUUGGCCACCA
This 80-nucleotide transfer RNA is filed under the name Paracoccaceae bacterium. Its description in RNAcentral is "Rhodobacteraceae bacterium (wastewater metagenome) tRNA-Phe". The record is from RNAcentral. Lineage: Bacteria; Pseudomonadati; Pseudomonadota; Alphaproteobacteria; Rhodobacterales; Paracoccaceae.